Molecule: small RNA, 449 nt
Filed under: Arabidopsis thaliana (thale cress)
Lineage: Eukaryota; Viridiplantae; Streptophyta; Magnoliopsida; Brassicales; Brassicaceae
Description: ATSL171130
Source: RNAcentral
UUUUUUUUUUUUUUUGAUCAAAGAUUCAUUCUAAAUACCAUGUCCAUAAUAACAGGAGAUUCGAUUAACCGUGGUUUAUAAAGAAACCAAAGUUCCAUGUCCAUAAGGUCUUGGAAGUGGAGGUCUCUUCUAACUGAAAGAAAAAUUAACAAACAAUUUUUUGGUGUCCAUAAUAACAAGUCAAUUUAAAUAUAUCCAUUCAGAAACCUUUCUACUGAUCUAUAUACAUUCUAUAUACCAUGUCAAUGAUAACCUUUUUACUGCUCUAUAUCCAUUAUGUAUACCAUGUCCAUAAUAACAGGAAAUUCGAUUAACCGGAAUCUCGAUGCUACAUAGAUGAAACGAGUUUGACACAUGAGAGAGAACAAAAAUCAAAUCAAGCCGCCAUUGUUGAAGAAGAAGAGUUUCUUAGAUAACUGAAUCUCAAAUUUAUCUCAAAACAAAUAUUU